Molecule: ribosomal RNA, 229 nt
Filed under: uncultured bacterium
Lineage: Bacteria
Description: partial 16S ribosomal RNA
Rfam family: Bacterial small subunit ribosomal RNA
Source: RNAcentral
UGCGUAGGUGGUUUGAUAAGUCAGAGUUGAAAGCCCACCGCUUAACGGUGGAAUUGCCUUUGAUACUGUCAGACUUGAAUAAGGUUGAGGUCGGCGGAAUGUGUCAUGUAGCGGUGAAAUGCAUAGAUAUGACAUAGAACACCAAUUGCGAAGGCAGCUGGCUAGACCUUUAUUGACACUGAGGCACGAAAGCGUGGGGAGCGAACAGGAUUAGAUACCCUGGUAGUCC